UUUGUGGGACCAUCUUCAUUUUUUGCUUUUUGGUUUUUGAGACCAUCCAGUUACAAGGGAUGAAGCAGUGAAGGAUGUCAGAACUCACUUUCCUAGAAAUCUUGGCGGUGUUUUCCCCAGGCUAACACCCUCAGCACUCCUUUAAGAUAGGCCAGAGAAGCAUGUAGCUGUCUCAACCAUCUCUAAAUAACCUGAAUAAAUAGUUUGUGGAGGGAGAACCAAUUUGAAGGUCAACUCCUUACCUACAUGGUGUAUGUUGAGAGAAAAAGAUAGGUAUUGCUAUCUGAGGAUGGACAGCAAACGCUUCUGGGCUGGACUGGUUGAAGGUCUGAGCUUCUGCUGAGGCCACUGAUAGGGUUUCUGCAUCUAGGGUGAGAAAAUUAGGCUCAUAACCAGCGUUUGUAAUGACCACUGGGGAACAGUUCUGUUGUAAGGCAGCGUGUCUAAAUAGUAAGACGACAAUUGCAUCAGUAACACAUCAGCAUGAACCUGCAGCAAGAGAAAGAAAAAUGCUGCUUUCCGUUAGGCACUGUGUUAAUUAACUGUCUUCGAGGUAGGCCUGGGAUGCAUUCUCCUUGAUAGGAGUCCAAGACCUUACGAAAGCAAGGCUGAGAGCUUGAGGCAGAGCAGAGAAUCUGCAGGAGCUUCAUUGUGUGAAGUCGUUCUGCGCCGCCACAAACCCGCUUCCGAAUGGUUUGGCGCAUUGAGAAGCUGCCCGAUUUGUAAAGCAGCCUUUUGAGCUAAUUGAAGUGAACUUGCCACAAAUUCUAGCCUCAGACAGGUCUUAAAAGGCAGAUGUAGUGCGGAGUUUUGUUCCUAACCUCACAUAAUGACCGUAGUGCUAAUGAUUUCACGGGUCCUCGUCCACAGGAGACUUGCCUGGAGAGGAACACUUGGUUGCUUCGAUCUCACAAUAUGCACCAAAGAUUUUCUCAUUCGACAUGCACGUGAGCGUUUAGCAAGCAUUUAAGAACGUGGUGUGUGGAAGGCGAUAUUGGGCAGUUGCCAUGCAUUUUCAGCGGUUGAAAGCUUGACCUGCAUCCUAAAGGCGAUGGUAAGAGAGAUUAGGUAAUAAAUGUCAGAUUAGGUAAUGUAUGUUGCUUUGC
RNAcentral lists this long non-coding RNA (1106 nucleotides) under Anser brachyrhynchus (Pink-footed goose). RNAcentral's name for it is "lncRNA (ENSABRG00000019755.1)". The record is from RNAcentral. Lineage: Eukaryota; Metazoa; Chordata; Aves; Anseriformes; Anatidae.